Molecule: non-coding RNA, 92 nt
Organism: Marasmius tenuissimus
Lineage: Eukaryota; Fungi; Basidiomycota; Agaricomycetes; Agaricales; Marasmiaceae
Source: the annotation of a GenBank genome assembly
GUGCCCGUAACUCAGUGGUAGAGUGUGAGAUUGCAAUCUAUAUCGAGAUCCGCAAUAUCUUGAAGCCCCGUGUUCGACCCACGGCGGGCACU